CCUACGGGGUGCAGCAGUGGGGAAUAUUGCACAAUGGGCGCAAGCCUGAUGCAGCCAUGCCGCGUGUAUGAAGAAGGCCUUCGGGUUGUAAAGUACUUUCAGCGGGGAGGAAGGUGUUGUGGUUAAUAACCACAACAAUUGACGUUACCCGCAGAAGAAGCACCGGCUAACUCCGUGCCAGCAGCCGCGGUAAUACGGAGGGUGCAAGCGUUAAUCGGAAUUACUGGGCGUAAAGCGCACGCAGGCGGUCUGUCGAAUCGGAUGUGAAAUCCCCGGGCUCAACCUGGGAACUGCAUCUGAUACUGGCAAGCUUGAGUCUCGUAGAGGGGGGUAGAAUUCCAGGUGUAGCGGUGAAAUGCGUAGAGAUCUGGAGGAAUACCGGUGGCGAAGGCGGCCCCCUGGACGAAGACUGACGCUCAGGUGCGAAAGCGUGGGGAGCAAACAGGAUUAGAUACCCCGGUAGUC
RNAcentral lists this ribosomal RNA (465 nucleotides) under uncultured bacterium. RNAcentral's name for it is "bacterial SSU rRNA". It matches the Rfam family "Bacterial small subunit ribosomal RNA", at positions 338 to 795 of the family's 1533-position model. The record is from RNAcentral.